GACGAACGCUGGCGGCGUGCUUAACACAUGCAAGUCGAACGGAAAGGCCCUGCUUUUGUGGGGUGCUCGAGUGGCGAACGGGUGAGUAACACGUGAGUAACCUGCCCUUGACUUUGGGAUAACUUCAGGAAAGUGGGGCUAAUACCGGAUAGGAGCUCCUGCUGCAUGGUGGGGGUUGGAAAGUUUCGGCGGUUGGGGAUGGACUCGCGGCUUAUCAGCUUGUUGGUGGGGUAGUGGCUUACCAAGGCUUUGACGGGUAGCCGGCCUGAGAGGGUGACCGGCCACAUUGGGACUGAGAUACGGCCCAGACUCCUACGGGAGGCAGCAGUGGGGAAUAUUGCACAAUGGGCGGAAGCCUGAUGCAGCAACGCCGCGUGCGGGAUGACGGCCUUCGGGUUGUAAACCGCUUUCGCCUGUGACGAAGCGUGAGUGACGGUAAUGGGUAAAGAAGCACCGGCUAACUACGUG
RNAcentral lists this ribosomal RNA (468 nucleotides) under uncultured bacterium. RNAcentral's name for it is "partial 16S ribosomal RNA". It matches the Rfam family "Bacterial small subunit ribosomal RNA", at positions 28 to 507 of the family's 1533-position model. The record is from RNAcentral.